UAAAAAAAAAAAAAAAAAAAAAAAAGGAAAAUCUGUUGCAGAAUGAUUUGUAGCAAUCUUCGCCAUAGCUGAGAGAGACCGAGACGCAGAAAUGGAAGGCGCGAAUUUUAGGGGAACCCACAGAUGGAAGAAGAGAAGUUCGGUUCAGUCUCCAAGAUCUGCACUUCUCACUCUUCUCAUCUUCUCCUCUUUCAUCAUCCUCUUCUUCUACUUCAGACGCUUCGUUUCCCCCACUCAACUUCCACUUUCCCGGAAUUCUCCCUCGUUCCUUCUCCAACGAUGCGGCUCCUCCUCCAGGGGGAAGUUCAUCUGGUACGCGCCCCACAGUGGCUUCAGCAACCAGCUGUCCGAGUUCAAGAACGCGCUUCUAAUGGCUUCCAUUUUGAAUCGAACCCUCAUUGUGCCUCCCAUUCUAGAUCACCACGCCGUUGCUCUCGGUAGCUGUCCCAAAUUUAGGGUUUUAAGCCCCCCUGAUUUGAGAUUCGCGGUUUGGAAUCAUAGUAUUGAGCUCUUGCGUGAUUGCAGAUACGUUUCUAUGGCAGAUAUUAUUGACCUUUCAGCAAUAGUGUCUGCUUCAGCUGUCAGUGUUGUGGAUUUUAGAGUGUUUGUGUCUGAAUGGUGUGGUGUGAAUCUGGAUCAUUUUUGCACUGGAAACCAAAAUGCCCAAUCUUCUAUGUUACAAAGGCUAAACGAAUGUGGGUCUUUGCUGUCUGGGAAAUCUGGUAAUUUAAAUAGUUGUUUAUAUGCUUUAGAGGAGGAUUGCAGGACAACAGUUUGGACAUACCAAAAAGAUGGUGAAGAUGGUGCUUUAGACUCAUUUCAACCUGAUGAGGAACUCAAGAAGAAGAAGAGAAUUGCCUUUGUUAGGAGAAGAAGAGACGUAUAUAAGACCCUUGGUCUGGGCUCUGCUGUUGAUUCUGCCAAAGUUCUUGCAUUUGGAAGCCUUUUCACCUCCCCAUAUAAGGGAUCAGAGUCACACAUUGAUAUCCACGAAGCUCCUAAUGAUAAAAGGAUAGCUUCCUUCAUCAAGAGGAUUGAGUUCCUACCCUUUGUACCAGAAAUUCUUGAUGCUGGAAAGAAUUUCGUUCUCAAAACAAUUAAGGCUCCUUUUCUUUGUGCACAGCUUAGACUAUUGGAUGGGCAGUUCAAGAACCACUGGAAAGCUACUUUUCAAGAAUUGAAGCAUAAGUUAGAAUCUUUGAAACAAACUGGACCUAACCCUAUUCAUGUGUUUCUAAUGACUGACCUUCCCAUGUCUAAUUGGUCUGGGAGCUACUUGGGUGAUAUUACAAAAGAUUCAGGUAUCAAACUGUUUGUCCUUAAAGAAGAUGAUGAGCUGGUUAGAGAAACUGCUAGGAAUGUUGUGAAGGCAGGAAAUGGGAUGAAGGUUGGGUCUGAUUCAAAGUAUUCCAUCAAAAUUCGGGAAAAUCAGCAUGCUCAAACAUUACCUGAUGUGCUGUUAUACAUAGAGGAAACUGUAUGUAGCUGUGCUUCUCUUGGUUUUGUGGGAACUAGUGGUUCAACUAUUGCAGCGAGUAUAGAGUUGAUGAGGAAGUUUGAUAUAUGUAAUAGCUGAAAUCUUUUUCAGCUACUACUAUUCAGGAAAUGAAGGAUCUUCUGGUAGGGUAAGGAAUAUAUACAAACUUGUUAGAUAGAUCUUGCCUUAUUUGGCUGAAAGUAGUCUAAAGUUGUUUGAAGAGCGCCGUGGAAUUAAGCAGGAGAAUCAAGAAUGUGAUUUGAUAUGGCCAAAGUCCCCAUGCUACAUUUGGCAUCUCAUUACGGAUGUUGAGGGCUGUUGUUCUUCAUAGUGCUAUACCUCUGGAAUACGAGUUCUAUAUCCUGUCAAGAUGAUGCUUUGGUUUGACAUUUUCAAUAAUAUAGACAAACUACAAGAAGUCGACAGCCCAGUUUUAAUUAUCCAUGUAAGAAACAUCUCUUUCCUCAAUUUUAUAUAUAUUUUGUUACAUUUGUGAUGAUUUUUUUCCUCGCUCCCUAGUUAUUUACAUAUAGCCUGCCAAGAACACAAUUAAAAACUACAAAAAUCAUGAAAGGAAAAGCAUCACAACUUAUGGUUUGAGUCAUUUGACUAAUAGAGAGUAAAUGAAAUGGGAGAUUUAGUAAACAGAGUUGGUGAUAAAGGUAGGAUUCUGGGAUGGCAGUUGCUGCGAUGUUACCUAACAACACCUGACGUUUUUGACCUAUUGACUAGUGUAAGGACAAUGUAGUAUCCAGUCAUAUGAUCUUAGUUCUUGAGCCGAUUCUUUACUGUCAAGAAGAAGACAUGUGCGGGUUACUAAUUUGGAUCAAGGUUGCUGAAGAAGAAAGCGAAGGUUGUGAAAGCAUCUUGAUUCAUUAGUCAUCUCAGUUGUAUGCCCCUCCAACUGCUAAAUCGAUUCGAAGACAUUAUAAGCAAUGUUUGAGCUUUGUCUGAAUGAUUUAGUGCAUUGGUUCUCAUUAUCCAUCUUGAUCAAGUGUACCAAUUAAAUGUAGGUAAUAUUAUGUUGUAUGAUGUGUCCCAAUCCCCACAAAUCUUUCUAGUUGUCUUUAACUUUGGAACUUUGUAUACCAUAUAUUUCAAUAUGAAACAUCA
RNA transcript from Ipomoea nil (Japanese morning glory), 2590 nucleotides. RefSeq lists it as uncharacterized. NCBI's taxonomy places the organism in Eukaryota, Viridiplantae, Streptophyta, Magnoliopsida, Solanales, Convolvulaceae. The record is from RefSeq and is a predicted model, not a curated record. The transcript is spliced from 4 exons.